UAAGCUUCUAUAAAAAGGAUGAACCUACUGUCCAGUGUUGGCAGGAAAAAGAAGCUGAUGGCUCCGGCUGCCGUUAGGGAUCCACCCAACACGUAGAACGGAAGACCAUACCCUGAUAACUGAGAAAAAUGGUCAGAGAUUUGGUGCCACUGACCACCCCUGGACUUGCAUGUGAAAGUCCUGCCAGGGGCAAAUAAGAACUUGAUUACCUCCUCUGGAAAGAAUGGUCCCAGUAUAGAGAAGUUGGCAGCAGCACAGAAGUUACAGACAGCCAUCAUCAGGAGCAGGACCUUCUUAUCU
Molecule: long non-coding RNA, 300 nt
Organism: Saccostrea cuccullata (small rock oyster)
Lineage: Eukaryota; Metazoa; Mollusca; Bivalvia; Ostreida; Ostreidae
Exons: 3
Source: RefSeq, a predicted model, not a curated record